UGUGGAAUUAUCAUAUCUACCCAUAUCUUUUUUCUUCGUGAAGGUUCGUAACUUCCAAGGCCAAUGCAAAUAGCCUCGAUCAUGAAUUUCUAUUAGGAUCUAGGUUCUUGGUGCAUUGAGAGGUAUAUCUCUCAGGCCUCUAUGGUAGGCCUCAAAGUCGCACAAUGCCUCUCUUCUCAAUUAUGCUUUCUUUGUAGUUCUUUCUCACAGUCUUUAUGUUUAUCCUUAUCUUUUUCACCACC
RNAcentral lists this long non-coding RNA (242 nucleotides) under Elaeis guineensis (African oil palm). RNAcentral's name for it is "long non-coding RNA (EGUI_LNC029505)". Lineage: Eukaryota; Viridiplantae; Streptophyta; Magnoliopsida; Arecales; Arecaceae. The record is from RNAcentral.